RNAcentral lists this ribosomal RNA (1260 nucleotides) under Bacillus sp. enrichment culture clone TJTB62. Its description in RNAcentral is "bacterial SSU rRNA". It matches the Rfam family "Bacterial small subunit ribosomal RNA", at positions 92 to 1339 of the family's 1533-position model. The record is from RNAcentral. Lineage: Bacteria; Bacillati; Bacillota; Bacilli; Caryophanales; Bacillaceae.
UUAGCGGCGGAGGGUGAGUAACACGUGGGCAACCUGCCUGUAAGACUGGGAAACUCCGGGAAACCGGGGCUAAUACCGGAUAACCCGUUCCACCUCAUGGUGGAGCGGUAAAAGAUGGCCUCUGGCUAUCACUUACAGAUGGGCCCGCGGCGCAUUAGCUAGUUGGUAAGGUAACGGCUUACCAAGGCGACGAUGCGUAGCCGACCUGAGAGGGUGAUCGGCCACACUGGGACUGAGACACGGCCCAGACUCCUACGGGAGGCAGCAGUAGGGAAUCUUCCGCAAUGGACGAAAGUCUGACGGAGCAACGCCGCGUGAGUGAUGAAGGUUUUCGGAUCGUAAAGCUCUGUUGUUAGGGAAGAACAAGUGCCGUUUGAAUAAGGCGGCACCUUGACGGUACCUAACCAGAAAGCCACGGCUAACUACGUGCCAGCAGCCGCGGUAAUACGUAGGUGGCAAGCGUUGUCCGGAAUUAUUGGGCGUAAAGCGCGCGCAGGCGGCUCUUAAGUCUGAUGUGAAAGCCCACGGCUCAACCGUGGAGGGUCAUUGGAAACUGGGAGACUUGAGUACAGAAGAGGAGAGUGGAAUUCCACGUGUAGCGGUGAAAUGCGUAGAUAUGUGGAGGAACACCAGUGGCGAAGGCGACUCUCUGGUCUGUAACUGACGCUGAGGCGCGAAAGCGUGGGGAGCAAACAGGAUUAGAUACCCUGGUAGUCCACGCCGUAAACGAUGAGUGCUAGGUGUUAGGGGUUUCGAUGCCCUUAGUGCCGAAGUUAACACAUUAAGCACUCCGCCUGGGGAGUACGACCGCAAGGUUGAAACUCAAAGGAAUUGACGGGGGCCCGCACAAGCAGUGGAGCAUGUGGUUUAAUUCGAAGCAACGCGAAGAACCUUACCAGGUCUUGACAUCCUUUGACCACUCUAGAGAUAGAGCUUUCCCCUUCGGGGGACAAAGUGACAGGUGGUGCAUGGUUGUCGUCAGCUCGUGUCGUGAGAUGUUGGGUUAAGUCCCGCAACGAGCGCAACCCUUGAUCUUAGUUGCCAGCAUUCAGUUGGGCACUCUAAGGUGACUGCCGGUGACAAACCGGAGGAAGGUGGGGAUGACGUCAAAUCAUCAUGCCCCUUAUGACCUGGGCUACACACGUGCUACAAUGGAUGGUACAAAGGGCUGCAAAACCGCGAGGUUGAGCGAAUCCCAUAAAGCCAUUCUCAGUUCGGAUUGUAGGCUGCAACUCGCCUACAUGAAGCCGGAAUGCUAGU